RNAcentral lists this ribosomal RNA (450 nucleotides) under uncultured bacterium. RNAcentral describes it as "partial 16S ribosomal RNA". It matches the Rfam family "Bacterial small subunit ribosomal RNA", at positions 354 to 796 of the family's 1533-position model. The record is from RNAcentral.
GUGGGGAAUAUUGGACAAUGGGCGAAAGCCUGAUCCAGCCAUGCCGCGUGUGUGAAGAAGGUCUUCGGAUUGUAAAGCACUUUAAGUUGGGAGGAAGGGCAGUAAGUUAAUACCUUGCUGUUUUGACGUUACCGACAGAAUAAGCACCGGCUAACUUCGUGCCAGCAGCCGCGGUAAUACGAAGGGUGCAAGCGUUAAUCGGAAUUACUGGGCGUAAAGCGCGCGUAGGUGGUUUUGUAAGUUGGAGGUGAAAUCCCCGGGCUCAACCUGGGAACUGCCUCCAAAACUGCAUGACUAGAGUACGGUAGAGGGUAGUGGAAUUUCCUGUGUAGCGGUGAAAUGCGUAGAUAUAGGAAGGAACACCAGUGGCGAAGGCGACUACCUGGACUGAUACUGACACUGAGGUGCGAAAGAGUGGGGAGCAAACAGGAUUAGAUACCCGUGUAGUCC